This 250-nucleotide ribosomal RNA is filed under the name uncultured Pseudomonas sp. Its description in RNAcentral is "partial 16S ribosomal RNA". It matches the Rfam family "Bacterial small subunit ribosomal RNA", at positions 103 to 355 of the family's 1533-position model. Lineage: Bacteria; Pseudomonadati; Pseudomonadota; Gammaproteobacteria; Pseudomonadales; Pseudomonadaceae. The record is from RNAcentral.
CGGGUGAGUAAUGCCUAGGAAUCUGCCUGGUAGUGGGGGACAACGUUUCGAAAGGAACGCUAAUACCGCAUACGUCCUACGGGAGAAAGCAGGGGACAUUCGGGCCUUGCGCUAUCAGAUGAGCCUAGGUCGGAUUAGCUAGUUGGUGAGGUAAUGGCUCACCAAGGCGACGAUCCGUAACUGAUCUGAGAGGAUGAUCAGUCACACUGGAACUGAGACACGGUCCAGACUCCUACGGGAGGCAGCAGCC